GUACCCUCAAGCUCUGCUUGGUGUUGGGCGUCUUGUCUUUCUUAGACUCGCCUCAAAGUAAUUGGCAGCCAGUGUUUUUGGUAGUAAGCGCAGCACAAUUUGCGUCUUAGUCCCUAAACAGUGGCAUCCACAAAGCCUCUUUCUCAC
RNAcentral lists this unclassified non-coding RNA (147 nucleotides) under uncultured Phaeosphaeriaceae. Its description in RNAcentral is "sequence contains ITS2". Lineage: Eukaryota; Fungi; Ascomycota; Dothideomycetes; Pleosporales; Phaeosphaeriaceae. The record is from RNAcentral.